AGAGUUUGAUCAUGGCUCAGAUUGAACGCUGGCGGCAGGCCUAACACAUGCAAGUCGAACGGUAACAGGAAACAGCUUGCUGUUUCGCUGACGAGUGGCGGACGGGUGAGUAAUGUCUGGGAAACUGCCUGAUGGAGGGGGAUAACUACUGGAAACGGUAGCUAAUACCGCAUAACGUCGCAAGACCAAAGAGGGGGACCUUCGGGCCUCUUGCCAUCGGAUGUGCCCAGAUGGGAUUAGCUUGUUGGUGGGGUAACGGCUCACCAAGGCGACGAUCCCUAGCUGGUCUGAGAGGAUGACCAGCCACACUGGAACUGAGACACGGUCCAGACUCUACGGGAGGCAGCAGUGGGGAAUAUUGCACAAUGGGCGCAAGCCUGAUGCAGCCAUGCCGCGUGUAUGAAGAAGGCCUUCGGGUUGUAAAGUACUUUCAGCGGGGAGGAAGGGAGUAAAGUUAAUACCUUUGCUCAUUGACGUUACCCGCAGAAGAAGCACCGGCUAACUCCGUGCCAGCAGCCGCGGUAAUACGGAGGGUGCAAGCGUUAAUCGGAAUUACUGGGCGUAAAGCGCACGCAGGCGGUUUGUUAAGUCAGAUGUGAAAUCCCCGGGCUCAACCUGGGAACUGCAUCUGAUACUGGCAAGCUUGAGUCUCGUAGAGGGGGGUAGAAUUCCAGGUGUAGCGGUGAAAUGCGUAGAGAUCUGGAGGAAUACCGGUGGCGAAGGCGGCCCCCUGGACGAAGACUGACGCUCAGGUGCGAAAGCGUGGGGAGCAAACAGGAUUAGAUACCCUGGUAGUCCACGCCGUAAACGAUGUCGACUUGGAGGUUGUGCCCUUGAGGCGUGGCUUCCGGAGCUAACGCGUUAAGUCGACCGCCUGGGGAGUACGGCCGCAAGGUUAAAACUCAAAUGAAUUGACGGGGGCCCGCACAAGCGGUGGAGCAUGUGGUUUAAUUCGAUGCAACGCGAAGAACCUUACCUGGUCUUGACAUCCACGGAAGUUUUCAGAGAUGAGAAUGUGCCUUCGGGAACCGUGAGACAGGUGCUGCAUGGCUGUCGUCAGCUCGUGUUGUGAAAUGUUGGGUUAAGUCCCGCAACGAGCGCAACCCUUAUCCUUUGUUGCCAGCGGUCCGGCCGGGAACUCAAAGGAGACUGCCAGUGAUAAACUGGAGGAAGGUGGGGAUGACGUCAAGUCAUCAUGGCCCUUACGACCAGGGCUACACACGUGCUACAAUGGCGCAUACAAAGAGAAGCGACCUCGCGAGAGCAAGCGGACCUCAUAAAGUGCGUCGUAGUCCGGAUUGGAGUCUGCAACUCGACUCCAUGAAGUCGGAAUCGCUAGUAAUCGUGGAUCAGAAUGCCACGGUGAAUACGUUCCCGGGCCUUGUACACACCGCCCGUCACACCAUGGGAGUGGGUUGCAAAAGAAGUAGGUAGCUUAACCUUCGGGAGGGCGCUUACCACUUUGUGAUUCAUGACUGGGGUGAAGUCGUAACAAGGUAACCGUAGGGGAACCUGCGGUUGGAUCACCU
RNAcentral lists this ribosomal RNA (1529 nucleotides) under Escherichia coli. RNAcentral's name for it is "bacterial SSU rRNA". It matches the Rfam family "Bacterial small subunit ribosomal RNA". Lineage: Bacteria; Pseudomonadati; Pseudomonadota; Gammaproteobacteria; Enterobacterales; Enterobacteriaceae. The record is from RNAcentral.